RNAcentral lists this long non-coding RNA (336 nucleotides) under Chinchilla lanigera (long-tailed chinchilla). RNAcentral's name for it is "lncRNA (ENSCLAG00000028206.1)". The record is from RNAcentral. Lineage: Eukaryota; Metazoa; Chordata; Mammalia; Rodentia; Chinchillidae.
CAAGAGAAGUUCAGUCUUUCAUAUAUUAGGCCCAGUAUCUGCUUACUAAGGACCUGAGUGAUCUACAUUGCUAAAGCAGACCUUCAACAUCAGGCAAGGGCUGAGAUCUUCACUCUGCAAGGUCAGUGUAACCUAUGGAAAUGGAGUUGCUCUUUCAGCUGCCGUGCACAAUGUCACUGAAGAUGUAGUUGAGAAAGAAAGCAGGUGUAAAGCCAAAAGUAUUUGUAAUUUGAACUGCUUGUUCUGAACUUGAAUUUCAAAAACAUUGUUUGAAGUGGCUCUGAUGUUAUUUUGAUUUACUAUCUUAGAAACGGCCCUGUCUUGGUUAGUCCAGAC